Molecule: ribosomal RNA, 2906 nt
Filed under: Salmonella enterica
Lineage: Bacteria; Pseudomonadati; Pseudomonadota; Gammaproteobacteria; Enterobacterales; Enterobacteriaceae
Description: 23S ribosomal RNA
Rfam family: Bacterial large subunit ribosomal RNA
Source: RNAcentral
GGUUAAGCGACUAAGCGUACACGGUGGAUGCCCUGGCAGUCAGAGGCGAUGAAGGGCGUGCUAAUCUGCGAUAAGCGCCGGUAAGGUGAUAUGAACCGUUAUAACCGGCGAUACCCGAAUGGGGAAACCCAGUGUGACUCGUCACACUAUCAUUAACUGAAUCCAUAGGUUAAUGAGGCGAACCGGGGGAACUGAAACAUCUAAGUACCCCGAGGAAAAGAAAUCAACCGAGAUUCCCCCAGUAGCGGCGAGCGAACGGGGAGGAGCCCAGAGCCUGAAUCAGCAUGUGUGUUAGUGGAAGCGUCUGGAAAGGCGCGCGAUACAGGGUGACAGCCCCGUACACAAAAGCGCAUGUGCUGUGAGCUCGAUGAGUAGGGCGGGACACGUGGUAUCCUGUCUGAAUAUGGGGGGACCAUCCUCCAAGGCUAAAUACUCCUGACUGACCGAUAGUGAACCAGUACCGUGAGGGAAAGGCGAAAAGAACCCCGGCGAGGGGAGUGAAAAAGAACCUGAAACCGUGUACGUACAAGCAGUGGGAGCACCCUUUGGGGUGUGACUGCGUACCUUUUGUAUAAUGGGUCAGCGACUUAUAUUCUGUAGCAAGGUUAACCGUAUAGGGGAGCCGUAGGGAAACCGAGUCUUAACCGGGCGUUAAGUUGCAGGGUAUAGACCCGAAACCCGGUGAUCUAGCCAUGGGCAGGUUGAAGGUUGGGUAACACUAACUGGAGGACCGAACCGACUAAUGUUGAAAAAUUAGCGGAUGACCUGUGGCUGGGGGUGAAAGGCCAAUCAAACCGGGAGAUAGCUGGUUCUCCCCGAAAGCUAUUUAGGUAGCGCCUCGUGAAUUCAUCUCCGGGGGUAGAGCACUGUUUCGGCUAGGGGGCCAUCCCGGCUUACCAACCCGAUGCAAACUGCGAAUACCGGAGAAUGUUAUCACGGGAGACACACGGCGGGUGCUAACGUCCGUCGUGAAGAGGGAAACAACCCAGACCGCCAGCUAAGGUCCCAAAGUCAUGGUUAAGUGGGAAACGAUGUGGGAAGGCCCAGACAGCCAGGAUGUUGGCUUAGAAGCAGCCAUCAUUUAAAGAAAGCGUAAUAGCUCACUGGUCGAGUCGGCCUGCGCGGAAGAUGUAACGGGGCUAAACCAUGCACCGAAGCUGCGGCAGCGACGCUGAUGCGUUGUUGGGUAGGGGAGCGUUCUGUAAGCCUGCGAAGGUGGCCUGUGAGGGUUGCUGGAGGUAUCAGAAGUGCGAAUGCUGACAUAAGUAACGAUAAAGCGGGUGAAAAGCCCGCUCGCCGGAAGACCAAGGGUUCCUGUCCAACGUUAAUCGGGGCAGGGUGAGUCGACCCCUAAGGCGAGGCCGAAAGGCGUAGUCGAUGGGAAACGGGUUAAUAUUCCCGUACUUGGUGUUACUGCGAAGGGGGGACGGAGAAGGCUAUGUUGGCCGGGCGACGGUUGUCCCGGUUUAAGCGUGUAGGUGUGUGUUCCAGGUAAAUCCGGUUCACUUUAACACUGAGGCGUGACGACGAGGCACUACGGUGCUGAAGCAACAAAUGCCCUGCUUCCAGGAAAAGCCUCUAAGCAUCAGGUAACAUCAAAUCGUACCCCAAACCGACACAGGUGGUCAGGUAGAGAAUACCAAGGCGCUUGAGAGAACUCGGGUGAAGGAACUAGGCAAAAUGGUGCCGUAACUUCGGGAGAAGGCACGCUGACACGUAGGUGAAGUGAUUUACUCAUGGAGCUGAAGUCAGUCGAAGAUACCAGCUGGCUGCAACUGUUUAUUAAAAACACAGCACUGUGCAAACACGAAAGUGGACGUAUACGGUGUGACGCCUGCCCGGUGCCGGAAGGUUAAUUGAUGGGGUCAGCGCAAGCGAAGCUCCUGAUCGAAGCCCCGGUAAACGGCGGCCGUAACUAUAACGGUCCUAAGGUAGCGAAAUUCCUUGUCGGGUAAGUUCCGACCUGCACGAAUGGCGUAAUGAUGGCCAGGCUGUCUCCACCCGAGACUCAGUGAAAUUGAACUCGCUGUGAAGAUGCAGUGUACCCGCGGCAAGACGGAAAGACCCCGUGAACCUUUACUAUAGCUUGACACUGAACAUUGAGCCUUGAUGUGUAGGAUAGGUGGGAGGCUUUGAAGUGUGGACGCCAGUCUGCAUGGAGCCGACCUUGAAAUACCACCCUUUAAUGUUUGAUGUUCUAACGUGGACCCGUAAUCCGGGUUGCGGACAGUGUCUGGUGGGUAGUUUGACUGGGGCGGUCUCCUCCUAAAGAGUAACGGAGGAGCACGAAGGUUGGCUAAUCCUGGUCGGACAUCAGGAGGUUAGUGCAAUGGCAUAAGCCAGCUUGACUGCGAGCGUGACGGCGCGAGCAGGUGCGAAAGCAGGUCAUAGUGAUCCGGUGGUUCUGAAUGGAAGGGCCAUCGCUCAACGGAUAAAAGGUACUCCGGGGAUAACAGGCUGAUACCGCCCAAGAGUUCAUAUCGACGGCGGUGUUUGGCACCUCGAUGUCGGCUCAUCACAUCCUGGGGCUGAAGUAGGUCCCAAGGGUAUGGCUGUUCGCCAUUUAAAGUGGUACGCGAGCUGGGUUUAGAACGUCGUGAGACAGUUCGGUCCCUAUCUGCCGUGGGCGCUGGAGAACUGAGGGGGGCUGCUCCUAGUACGAGAGGACCGGAGUGGACGCAUCACUGGUGUUCGGGUUGUCAUGCCAAUGGCACUGCCCGGUAGCUAAAUGCGGAAGAGAUAAGUGCUGAAAGCAUCUAAGCACGAAACUUGCCCCGAGAUGAGUUCUCCCUGAGACUUAAAGUCUCCUGAAGGAACGUUGAAGACGACGACGUUGAUAGGCCGGGUGUGUAAGCGCAGCGAUGCGUUGAGCUAACCGGUACUAAUGAACCGUGAGGCUUAACCUU